Molecule: transfer RNA, 74 nt
Filed under: Naesiotus nux
Lineage: Eukaryota; Metazoa; Mollusca; Gastropoda; Stylommatophora; Orthalicidae
Description: tRNA-Asn
Source: RNAcentral
AUAAGUAAAGCUAAAUCAUUAUAAGCCUCUAACUGUUAAUUAGAAGAUUCUUUAAAUAAAUAAAAGUACUUAUU